AACGAGUUAACAAGUGUAACAUUGGCAAUUUGUUAGCUAAUUUGCCAGAACAACGAACAGAGCGAACAAAUGGCAAAACUCUGGAAGAUGAAGUGAACUCCAGUUGGCUACUGAAGCGGGGGCAGUGACCACAUAGCAAAACAACAAAGGGAAAAAUCAACUUAAUGACAAAUAAGGAAAACAAAAGCCAACUACUACUACUAAAGGGAACUCUCUUGGAGGGAACCCAACUGAUUGAGGGAAGAACAACAACAGCAACAAGAAAGAAGAUGAAGAAGAGAAAAAAAAAUUGAAAUCAAGUCGCAGUGAGGCAAGUUCAACAACCUGAAGAAGAGCCAUCCCAUACCCCAGACCCCAGAGACAGAGACAGAGAGGCAGACAGAGAGAGAGAAAAGAACAUGAGAACAAACAUUUGAGGCCAAGAAGAGGCUUUGCCUCAAAACUGGCGAUUACUUCACUCACACCAUCUUGGCACCGGCAUCGACAUCAUUGUGGAUGUGGAUGUCGAUUCCGAUCCAAGAUCAUGAUGACGACCACGACCAAGACGAAGACGAAGAAAACAAUGAUGAUGAUGAUGAUGAUGAUGAAGAAGAUGCUGCUGCGGCUGCUGAAGAGACUUUGGCGAAAAUUGCCCACAAAAAGGGCGCCAAGAAACGGUACCUGGGGUAAAGGAAUCUCAUGCCCCACUCUAUUACCGGCUCCCAUCUUCUUACCUCUCCUCAUCCCAACUCUCAGUAAUCUUUACAAUUCAAAUCAAAAUAAUUUACGCGCCGGUGCAAAUUGUUUUCUUCUCUUACAUAUAAACAUUUUAUUUCCUUUAA
This is a long non-coding RNA of Drosophila willistoni, 821 nucleotides long. RefSeq lists it as uncharacterized. NCBI's taxonomy places the organism in Eukaryota, Metazoa, Arthropoda, Insecta, Diptera, Drosophilidae. The record is from RefSeq and is a predicted model, not a curated record. The transcript is spliced from 2 exons.